AAUAUUUGGAAGGUUUAAAUUACAAAUUCCACUUUUUUAAUAGAUACAGAAUUAAAUUUACUAUUGAAUAAAUGGACCUACGCAGUUCAGACCCAAGUGAUUUGGGGUCAACUGUAAUGAGUACAGAGGAAUCACAGAAGUAACUGAAAAUGCUGGGAUUUAAAUCAUGAUGGGAAAGACUCAUUAUGUGAUACUUUCUGUGCCGUUUUCUGGUAUGUCACACACUCCUGGAAAUACAUAAGAAUUCAGAAAUUGGCUAAUAAGCAUCAAAUAAUUUAAUCUUCAAACGUGUGGGUUUUUCUUCAGCAGUUUCUUCUUUCUCAGAUACAUAUGCAGAAAUGCAGGCAAUUCAGGCAGAUGUAACAGGUUAGAAAUGAGAAAGCCCCCAAUUUCCCACCUGAUUUUAAAGUCAAGAACUUGACAUGUAAUUUAACUUCUUAAAGUGCAGACCCCUCCACUGCUUUGGCUGCAUCUCGGGCCACCCCCCUCGGGCCCCGCCACCUCGAGGAGCAAGCCCGCCUUUUCCUCCACUGCUGGCACCACAUGACACGGAACCUACAUCCUGUGGGCAUCUGCUCGAUGACCUCGUGCCGAGUUCGCCUCAGUCAUUUCUUACUGCCCCAGUAUGUUUGAUUCCCAGUACUCCUGCCACAUUGCCGGAAAAUGGAAUGAACUUUGAGUCAUUUAGAAGAGAACAAGCAGCUAUUUGGAAAAAGCCAAGACAAAAGCUCAUCUACCUUGCCUGCUUCAUUAUUUAAGAUCCCAAAAGGUGAGUUUCACUUUGUGUUUAUUUCAUGAAGGUUAUAAAAUUUGCUGUGGGAAACUGGGUGUUACUAAUUGUGGCAGAUAUAUCAAGAAAUCAAACAUUCCUUUAUAAAAAGCACUUGACAAAGGAUAAACCAGGAAUAAGUUGAAGAAUUAUCUAUUUCUUCUUGAGUAAGGUUGGCAGUUUGGUUCUUUCAAGAAAAUUUUUCCAUUUUAUCUAAGUGGUUAAAUUUAUUUACAUAAAGUUCCCAAUAUUCCCUUAUCUGUUUAAUAACUGUGGUGAUGUCAUCUCUGCCAUUCCAGAUAUUGGUAACUUGUAUGUUAUCUCUUUUUUUUUCCAUAUUGUCUGAAGAUGUAUUGGUUUUAUUGACCUGCUUUUGUCUUUUCUGUUUCCUACUGAUUUCUUUAUUUCCAUUUUUAUGGUAACUGGGUUUCAUUGCUCUUCAUUUUCUAAUUUGUUAAGGUGGAAAUUGAAGUCAUUGAUUUGAGAGUUUUAUUUUCCAACUUAGUAAUAUUAUGUUUCCUUCUAAGUAAUGUGUUAGCUGCAUUCCACAUAUUUUGAUAUGCUGUGUUACAAGUUUCAUUCAAUUAAAAAUACUUUCUGUUUUGCCUUUUGAUUUCUCUUUUAACCCAUGGGUUACUAAAAAUUGUGCUAUUUAGAUCCAAAUAUUUGGGGGAUUUUACAAUUAUCUUUCUAUUAUUGAUUUCUAACUUAAUCCAUUCUAGUUAGAAAACAUUUUGUAUGAAUUGAAUCCUUUUAAAUUUAUUGAGAUGUGUUUUAAGGCCCGGAAUAUUGUCUAUCUUGGUAAAUGUUCUGGGUGCAUUUAAAAAGAAUGCAUAUUCUACUGUUCUUGGGUGGAGUGUUUUUUAAAUGUCAACUAGAUCAAGUUGGCUGAUGGUGUUGUGCAAGUCUUCAGUGCCCUUACUGAUUUUCAGUCAACUUGUUCUUUGGGAGAUGCAUGUCAAAAUCUAUUAUAAUUGUGGAUUUGUCAAUUUUUUUAAAUUGAAGUAUAGUUGAUUUACAGUGUUGUGUUAGUUUCAGAUGUACAGUGGAGUGAUUUACUUUUAUAUAUAUAUAUGUGUGUGUAUAUAUAUAUAUAUAUAUGUUUUUCAGAUUCUUUUUCAUUAUAGGUUAUUACAAGAUAUUGAAUAUAGUUUCCUGUGCUAUACAGUAGGUCAUUGUUGUUUAUUUUAUAUAUAAUAGUGUGUAUCUCUUAAUCCCAAGCUCCUAAUUUAUUCCCUCCCCCCACCUUUCCCCUUUUGUAACCAUAGUUUGUUUUCUGUAUCUGUGAGUCUAUUGCUGUUUUGUAAAUAAGUUCAUUUGUAUCAGUAUCAUUUUUUUUAGAUUCCACAUAUAAGCAAUAUCAUUUGAUAUCUGUCUUUCUCUGUCUGACUUACUUCACUUAAUAUAAUCUCUGGGUCCUCCAUGUUGCUGCAAAUGGCAUUAUUUUAUUUUUUUAUGGCUGAGUAGUAUUCCAUUGUACAUAUAUACCACAUCUUUUUUAUCCAUUCAUCUUUUGAGGGACAUUUAGGUUGUUUCCAUGUCUUAGCUAUUGUAAAUAGUGCUGCAGUGAACAUUGUCGUGCAUGUAUCAUUUCAAA
Molecule: long non-coding RNA, 2366 nt
Organism: Delphinapterus leucas (beluga whale)
Lineage: Eukaryota; Metazoa; Chordata; Mammalia; Artiodactyla; Monodontidae
Source: Ensembl